UCUCCGUUGGUGAACCAGCGGAGGGAUCAUUAUUGAGUUACCGCUCUACAUCCCUUUGUGAACAUACCUAACUGUUGCUUCGGCGGGCAGAGGUCCCUCGCGGAUCUCUCCCGGCAACGCCCUCACGGGCGGAGCGCCCGCCGGAGGAUACCAAACUCUAUUUUAACGACGUUUCUUCUGAGUGGCACAAGCAAAUAAUUAAAACUUUUAACAAUGGAUCUCUUGGUUCUG
RNAcentral lists this unclassified non-coding RNA (231 nucleotides) under plant metagenome. Its description in RNAcentral is "partial contains small subunit ribosomal RNA, internal transcribed spacer 1, and 5.8S ribosomal RNA". The record is from RNAcentral.